UGGGGAAUUUUGCACAUUGGGGGAAACCCUGAUGCAGCGACGCCGCGUGAUUUAGAAGGCCUUCGGGUUGUAAAAAUCUUUUCUAUGGGAAGAAAAUGACAGUACCAUAGGAAUAAGGACCGGCUAAUUACGUGCCAGCAGCCGCGGUAAUACGUAAGGUCCGAGCGUUGUCCGGAAUCAUUGGGCGUAAAGGGUACGUAGGCGGGUAAGCAAGUUAGAAGUGAAAUCCUAUAGCUCAACUAUAGUAAGCUUUUAAAACUGCUCAUCUUGAGGUAUGGAAGGGAAAGUGGAAUUCCUAGUGUAGCGGUGAAAUGCGCGGAUAUUAGGAGGAAUACCGGUGGCGAAGGCGACUUUCUGGCCAUAACCUGACGCUGAGGUACGAAAGCGUGGGUAGCAAACAGG
RNAcentral lists this ribosomal RNA (402 nucleotides) under bacterium. Its description in RNAcentral is "partial 16S ribosomal RNA". It matches the Rfam family "Bacterial small subunit ribosomal RNA", at positions 355 to 776 of the family's 1533-position model. The record is from RNAcentral.